UACGAAUACUCCAUAUCAUCUGGCAAAAUAACAACUUUCACAUUAAAUCUUGAAAAUGUAUCUAGAAAUGCACCCGAUAACUUUGCAGUGGUUCAUUUUUUUUUCAAUGACGAACUGUCUCAAAGGCAAGUGAAGUCUAUAUUGUAUGGAUUUUCUGAGAUUUUAUCAAAUUUUGGUGGAAUCCUUAGCCUUUGCCUCGGAAUCAGUUUUUUAAGCCUUAUAGAAUUGGUCUAUUUUUCCAGUAUUCAUCUUAUUUGUUUCCAUGUUAAGGAAAAACAAAGACGUAUUAAACGAGUACGACCUGAAGGGCAAAUCGAGAAUGAAAUGAGACUUGAAGGGCAGAAAAUUAUGCAUCUUUCAGAGGACUUUCAAAGGAUAAACUAUAUUUAAAUACUUUGAUGUGCGCACUUUAGUAAAUAAGG
Long non-coding RNA from Anthonomus grandis grandis, 422 nucleotides. RefSeq lists it as uncharacterized. NCBI's taxonomy places the organism in Eukaryota, Metazoa, Arthropoda, Insecta, Coleoptera, Curculionidae. The transcript has 3 exons. The record is from RefSeq and is a predicted model, not a curated record.